CCAGCUCCAAUAGCGUAUAUUUAAGUUGCUGCAGUUAAAAAGCUCGUAGUUGGAUUUUGGGUUGGAGCGCUCGGUCUGCCUCUCCAGGUUGAAUCUGAGCGCUGCAUCCUUUCAUGUCGAACGCGCGUCCUGGCCUUCACUGGCUGGGACGCGGGGUCGGCGAUGUUACUUUGAAAAAAUUAGAGUGUUCAAAGCAGGCCUACGCUCUGAAUACAUUAGCAUGGAAUAACGCGAUAGGACUCCGGCUCUAUUGCGUUGGUUUUCGGAACCGGAGUAAUGAUUAAUAGGGACGGUUGGGGGCAUUCGUAUUUCAUUGUCAGAGGUGAAAUUCUUGGAUUUAUGAAAGACGAACUUCUGCGAAAGCAUUUGCCAAGGAUGUUUUCA
Molecule: ribosomal RNA, 384 nt
Filed under: uncultured Netrium
Lineage: Eukaryota; Viridiplantae; Streptophyta; Zygnematophyceae; Zygnematales
Description: SSU rRNA
Rfam family: Eukaryotic small subunit ribosomal RNA
Source: RNAcentral